This 254-nucleotide ribosomal RNA is filed under the name uncultured prokaryote. Its description in RNAcentral is "partial 16S ribosomal RNA". It matches the Rfam family "Bacterial small subunit ribosomal RNA", at positions 524 to 776 of the family's 1533-position model. The record is from RNAcentral.
UACGGGGGGAGCAAGCGUUGUUCGGAUUUACUGGGCGUAAAGGGCGCGUAGGCGGCCACCGCAAGUCGGUUGUGAAAUCUCUGGGCUUAACCCAGAAAGGUCAACCGAUACUGCGGGGCUGGAGUGCGGAAGGGGCAACUGGAAUUCUUGGUGUAGCGGUGAAAUGCGUAGAUAUCAAGAGGAACACCUGCGGCGAAGGCGGGUUGCUGGGCCGACACUGACGCUGAAGCGCGAAAGCUAGGGGAGCGAACGGG